GAUGAACGCUGGCGGCGUGCCUAAUACAUGCAAGUCGAGCGAACGGACGAGAAGCUUGCUUCUCUGAUGUUAGCGGCGGACGGGUGAGUAACACGUGGAUAACCUACCUAUAAUACUGGGAUAACUUCGGGAAACCGGAGCUAAUACCGGAUGAUAUUUUGAACCGCAUGGUUCAAAAGUGAAAGACGGUCUUGCUGUCACUUAUAGAUGGAUCCGCGCUGCAUUAGCUAGUUGGUAAGGUAACGGCUUACCAAGGCAACGAUGCAUAGCCGACCUGAGAGGGUGAUCGGCCACACUGGAACUGAGACACGGUCCAGACUCCUACGGGAGGCAGCAGUAGGGAAUCUUCCGCAAUGGACGAAAGCCUGACGGAGCAACGCCGCGUGAGUGAUGAAGGUCUUCGGAUCGUAAAACUCUGUUAUUAGGGAAGAACAUAUGUGUAAGUAACUGUGCACAUCUUGACGGUACCUAAUCAGAAAGCCACGGCUAACUACGUG
This 497-nucleotide ribosomal RNA is filed under the name uncultured bacterium. Its description in RNAcentral is "partial 16S ribosomal RNA". It matches the Rfam family "Bacterial small subunit ribosomal RNA", at positions 28 to 507 of the family's 1533-position model. The record is from RNAcentral.